Molecule: ribosomal RNA, 339 nt
Filed under: uncultured bacterium
Lineage: Bacteria
Description: bacterial SSU rRNA
Rfam family: Bacterial small subunit ribosomal RNA
Source: RNAcentral
AGGGUUCGAUUCUGGCUCAGGACGAACGCUGGCGGCGUGCUUAACACAUGCAAGUCGAACGAGAAGACUUUGGAUAGCUUGCUAACUGAAGUUGGAAAGUGGCGAACGGGUGAGUAACGCGUAGGCAACCAACCUUGCACAGGGGGAUAGCCCCGGGAAACCGGGAUUAAUACCGCAUAAGACCACAUUGUCGCAUGACAAAGGGGUAAAAGCGAGUAAGCGGUGCAAGACGGGCCUGCGUCUGAUUAGGCAGUUGGCGGGGUAACGGCCCACCAAACCAACGAUCAGUAGCCGACCUGAGAGGGUGAUCGGCCACAUUGGGACUGAGACACGGCCCAA